AAACGAACGCUAAUACCGCAUACGUCCUACGGGAGAAAGCAGGGGACCUUCGGGCCUUGCGCUAUCAGAUGAGCCUAGGUCGGAUUAGCUAGUUGGUGAGGUAAUGGCUCACCAAGGCGACGAUCCGUAACUGGUCUGAGAGGAUGAUCAGUCACACUGGAACUGAGACACGGUCCAGACUCCUACGGGAGGCAGCAGUGGGGAAUAUUGGACAAUGGGCGAAAGCCUGAUCCAGCCAUGCCGCGUGUGUGAAGAAGGUCUUCGGAUUGUAAAGCACUUUAAGUUGGGAGGAAGGGCCAUUACCUAAUACGUGAUGGUUUUGACGUUACCGACAGAAUAAGCACCGGCUAACUCUGUGCCAGCAGCCGCGGUAAUACAGAGGGUGCAAGCGUUAAUCGGAAUUACUGGGCGUAAAGCGCGCGUAGGUGGUUUGUUAAGUUGGAUGUGAAAGCCCCGGGCUCAACCUGGGAACUGCAUUCAAAACUGACUAGCUAGAGUAUGGUAGAGGGUGGUGGAAUUUCCUGUGUAGCGGUGAAAUGCGUAGAUAUAGGAAG
RNAcentral lists this ribosomal RNA (554 nucleotides) under Pseudomonas sp. A15(2015). RNAcentral describes it as "bacterial SSU rRNA". It matches the Rfam family "Bacterial small subunit ribosomal RNA", at positions 154 to 703 of the family's 1533-position model. The record is from RNAcentral. Lineage: Bacteria; Pseudomonadati; Pseudomonadota; Gammaproteobacteria; Pseudomonadales; Pseudomonadaceae.